GGCAUAGCUCAGUGGUGGAGCACCUGCUCAGCAUGCAUGAGGUCCUGGGUUCAAGCCCCAGUACC
Molecule: transfer RNA, 65 nt
Filed under: Cavia porcellus (domestic guinea pig)
Lineage: Eukaryota; Metazoa; Chordata; Mammalia; Rodentia; Caviidae
Rfam family: tRNA
About the family: Transfer RNA (tRNA) molecules are approximately 80 nucleotides in length. Their secondary structure includes four short double-helical elements and three loops (D, anti-codon, and T loops).
Source: Rfam by way of RNAcentral